GUGUUUCAAACCCAGAUCUCCUGACUGGCCAACUCCUGGACAACAUGCUAACCACUUGGCUACCGUUCGGCCCGUGGAAGAUAAAUGUAACCCAAAUGAAAACCAUGGUUACUAAACCCAUAGUUGUGAUUUAAGUGCAUUCUGCAAAACCGCCAGUAGGUGGCACAUAUCUGUAGUAUAACAGUUCACAGUGGAUAGACAUUUAGUCAUUUCUAAAUGAGACGUGCAUGAGAAAGCACUGUGACCGAGCUGAAGAACCAUCCCGGACUAAGAAGUGUACAUAUACAUUGACAUGAAGAGCCAUUUCAUCCCGAGUGUGCCUCGUGUGAGCUCCGAUUGGUUUUUCUUGAGGACUGAGAUUGCACUUGAAUCUGAACCGUGAGGGUUCAGUGGCGAGGCAAACCCAGGAACAGACAAGUGGACAGGACGGGUCCGUGGUGUGGCCAGCUGCGGCAUCUGCCCUGAGGACAUCGGACUACAAAUUCACUUCACA
Long non-coding RNA from Dunckerocampus dactyliophorus (ringed pipefish), 493 nucleotides. RefSeq lists it as uncharacterized. The transcript is spliced from 3 exons. The record is from RefSeq and is a predicted model, not a curated record. NCBI's taxonomy places the organism in Eukaryota, Metazoa, Chordata, Actinopteri, Syngnathiformes, Syngnathidae.